GGGCGCCGUUGGGCGAUACGAGACGUCGUCCACCCGCGGGCAGCCCCAAGGUGAUUUUGACCUUUCUCGCUACCGCGAGCUGGCCGGAGGCGGACCCCGCCGAAUUUUGGAUUAGCCCCAGGUUCAACAGCUUAUCUUUCUGAACCUGUCGCGGAGGAGCGGGGCCCGCCGAGGUUCUGUGCCCUCGUCGCCCGGCCGCGUACGGGGCCAAGAUGACGUGCCCGGCCGCGGCCCGGCCCGGCUAGAUUGUCACCCGCACCACACCCCGCCGCCGGGACUUCAGACAGCUGAUAAGUGUCUCGGGUACCGCCCUCUCUGACAACGAAUUAGUUAGCAACAUUUUAAUCUACUCCAGCACUUUCUGUAUCUUUGUACUCUUAUCAGGGGAUUGAUUUGAAUGUGCCAUUCUUAAAUGUUCCUUAAUUUUUUUUAAUUGUACACAUUGUUUCUAUACAACUGAAUCAUAAGCUUGUUUGCAUUUAGGAAUUGGAAAACCUGAGAUCUCAUUUGGACUUAGAAAAUCUCUUCAUAUGUAUGAUUUCCUCCGUGUUCACCAUACCUGUUUUAGCUUCCUCACGUUACUCUAGCUCCCAAGAACAACUUUACAUUUCUGUUUCAAGAAGAUUGAAAAUAUCCAACAUCACCAAAAAAAUAACCUGAACAUCCAGCCUUUGAAGAGAAGUUAUGGUGUGGAUAUCUUCAACACAGUGGACGGUACAGAUUCCGAAGAAGCAAAACUCUAAGUGAUUAAGGAAAUAUAUUAUCUUCCUAUUUCAUGAAACUCAGUUGUAUUAAGUUUUUGCAUAAAAACAUUUUUAUUAUAUUUCUGUGUACUGGCAAUAAACAAUUCAAAUCAUAAAAUU
This 863-nucleotide long non-coding RNA is filed under the name Suricata suricatta (meerkat). RNAcentral describes it as "lncRNA (ENSSSUG00005022028.1)". The record is from RNAcentral. Lineage: Eukaryota; Metazoa; Chordata; Mammalia; Carnivora; Herpestidae.